AUUAAACUGAUCCUAGAACAGCACAACAGUAAGGUACAGGGUUACACACUUAUCAGGCCCAAACAUGAUGCUGUAGGAGGUACGGUCAUUAAACUGAUCCUAGAACAGCACAACAGUAAGGUACAGGGUUACACACUUAUCAGGCCCAAACAUGAUGCUGUAGGAGGUACGGUCAUUAAACUGAUCCUAGAACAGCACAACAGUAAGGUACAGGGUUACACACUUAUCAGGCCCAAACAUGAUGCUGUAGGAGGUACGGUCAUUAAACUGAUCCUAGAACAGCACAACAGUAAGGUACAGGGUUACACACUUAUCAGGCCCAAACAUGAUGCUGUAGGAGGUACGGUCAUUAAACUGAUCCUAGAACAGCACAACAGUAAGGUACAGGGUUACACACUUAUCAGGCCCAAACAUGAUGCUGUAGGAGGUACGGUCAUUAAACUGAUCCUAGAACAGCACAACAGUAAGGUACAGGGUUACACACUUAUCAGGCCCAAACAUGAUGCUGUAGGAGGUACGGUCAUUAAACUGAUCCUAGAACAGCACAACAGUAAGGUACAGGGUUACACACUUAUCAGGCCCAAACAUGAUGCUGUAGGAGGUACGGUCAUUAAACUGAUCCUAGAACAGCACAACAGUAAGGUACAGGGUUACACACUUAUCAGGCCCAAACAUGAUGCUGUAGGAGGUACGGUCAUUAAACUGAUCCUAGAACAGCACAACAGUAAGGUACAGGGUUACACACUUAUCAGGCCCAAACAUGAUGCUGUAGGAGGUACGGUCAUUAAACUGAUCCUAGAACAGCACCACAG
Long non-coding RNA from Oncorhynchus keta (chum salmon), 812 nucleotides. RefSeq lists it as uncharacterized. NCBI's taxonomy places the organism in Eukaryota, Metazoa, Chordata, Actinopteri, Salmoniformes, Salmonidae. The transcript has 5 exons. The record is from RefSeq and is a predicted model, not a curated record.